AGAAACUUAGGAUUACAUCAAACCGAAGGCCUUCAAAGCCUUAAACAAGAGUUAAACCCUCUUAGUUUCUG
This 71-nucleotide transfer RNA is filed under the name Tachycineta bicolor (Tree swallow). RNAcentral's name for it is "tRNA-Trp". It matches the Rfam family "tRNA". Rfam says of the family: Transfer RNA (tRNA) molecules are approximately 80 nucleotides in length. Their secondary structure includes four short double-helical elements and three loops (D, anti-codon, and T loops). The record is from RNAcentral. RNAcentral also lists the same sequence under 1 other name. Lineage: Eukaryota; Metazoa; Chordata; Aves; Passeriformes; Hirundinidae.